Molecule: long non-coding RNA, 2133 nt
Organism: Doryrhamphus excisus (bluestripe pipefish)
Lineage: Eukaryota; Metazoa; Chordata; Actinopteri; Syngnathiformes; Syngnathidae
Source: RefSeq, a predicted model, not a curated record
CCCUUGCGUCCUUUUUCCAGUAAUGUAGUCCUUCGUAAUGGAAUAGUAUACAUGCAAUGAAUGUAUAACCCGCAAGGUAUGCUAACAUUCUAACGUUAGCAUGCUAACGCCUAGCAUAAAAUCACAAAAAAUGUUAGUAUGUUCAUGUUGGCAUGCUAUUAAUACAAACAUGUAAUGUGGUCCUUUGCAAUGGAAUAGUAUACAUGCAGUGAAUGUAUAACCCGCAAGGUAUGCUGGGUAUCCUCCUGUUGGCAAAGUGUGCACGAAUAUGAAUACACCCCAGGCUGUUAACGCGGGAUUUAUUCGUGGUUGCGGGACCUUCUGCGCUGCAUGGCAGCUGUUUAUAAGCAAGCGACCGUGUAGCCUCUCUGCUCACACAGCAUAACACGUUUCACCGCUUCUAAUCCUCCGAAAAAGCCCCUCGUAAUAUUUAUGGGAACAUGAAGGGCCAAAGAGUAGUGCAAAAAAAAAAAGGCGUGCGUUGCCACGCUUUAAGCAGAUUUUAGCGGAUAAUCUGCAUCUAAUAAACAAGUCACUGUCAACAUGCUUUGGUGACGGUUGCACAUCAUCAUGCGGUUGGUGAGUCUGAGACAAAAAAAAAAACACAACCAGGAUCCCCAAAUCUUCCUCACCUCUUUGCAGUUUUCCGAGUUGGAGAAGUGAAUGAGGUCAUCGUUGUACAUCUCCUGCGUGUUGAUGAUGUCGCUGUACUCCUUUUGGCUCAGAUCCUCCGGGUUGAUGCCGUUGGCUCUCAGGAACUCCUGAAAUGAUGGCAAAACCCAACACGACAUCAGACGGCAUCAGACAUGCAAAGCGUUGAUGAAAGGGAGACAAAUAAAAGAAAAGCCUUCUGUACCCUCUGGGACGCAGGGUGGCCGGGCAGAAGUUUGGCCCGAGACAAGGUCAGCAGAUACGGGAGCACAAAGCACAGAGGGGAAGAGGAAAAGGAAAUAACGGAGGUAAAUAAAGGGUAAGACAAUAAAGCCCCGAACCAAACACAGCUGUGUUAUUGCACUUUUUAGCGGAGGUGUGUGUGUGUGUGUGUGUGUGUGUGUGUGUGUGUGCAGGUAGCGCAAGCACAGCCAGAUUGGUUAUCAGAGCUCAAUUACAGGAGCAAUUACCGGUGUAAUUAUUACCUUUACACCCUACAACACAACAUUUCAAAAAGCAUGCAAGAAGAAAUUAAAAAAAUUUAAAAAAUUAAAAAAAACAAAAACAACAUUUAAGGCUGAAUAUGAUUAAUAAUUGGUUGGUUAAAUAAUUGGUAAAUAGUUAAUUGGUUCCAGAAUUGACUGUGAUAAGUGAAUUUCCAUACAGUGGGAUUCUUUAUAGUGUCAACAAUGGGACUUGUUCUCCAAGUUGCAUUAAAAAAAAAUAAAUAAUAAUAAUAAUAACUACAAGCGGGCGGCACGGUGGUCUAGUGGUUAGCGCGCAGACCUCACAGAGAUGUCCGAGGGUGGAAUUGAACCCUGGUCUCCUAGCUGUUAUCCUCUCAUUUAGUGUGGAAGUGGUAAUUUUUUUGCUUCUUUUGAAAGUUAUUUUUGAAGUUAUUUGCAGGCUAACUGGUUAGCUUAGUAGGUGGCUAUGCUAGCAGUGUUGAUUCUGUUGCCGGCGCAAUGUGAUGUAAACAAAGAAUAAUAGUGUAAAAGUGACUUUUUGGAGUGUUAUUUCAUGUCUUCAGGGUUCUAAUAAUGUUAGCGCGCAGGCCACACAGCUAGGCGACGAGGGUUCAAUUCCACCCUCGGCCCAUCUCUGUGUGGAGUUUGCAUGCAUGGGUUUUCUCCGUUUGCUAGCAGAUAUUUCGGAUAAUGCUUCCCCGGAUUACCUGCUUUUCCGGGUGGAAGCCUUAUUGGAGCCUGAUCUCUCUCCUCCCCGACGGAGCUUUUUCACACUCACAUGUCGAUCAACCAAUAGGCGAACAGUUCAACCCAAGACACACUUAGGACCGCCCCCUCAUUUGAAUAGUUUUUCCUUCUGCAUUUCAAGCUGACAUUGUUUGCAGCAUGAAAUAAAUACAUAUGAGAGCAGAGUGCUUUUAUUUAUUUAUUGAUAUGUAAUUCUAUUUAUAUAUUUAUUUUUGUAUUUAUUUUUAAUUUUUGAAUCUUGUUUUUUUUAAUUUUUUUAUUUUUGCUU